RNAcentral lists this ribosomal RNA (429 nucleotides) under Acidobacteriota bacterium. Its description in RNAcentral is "Acidobacteria bacterium partial 16S ribosomal RNA". It matches the Rfam family "Bacterial small subunit ribosomal RNA", at positions 355 to 776 of the family's 1533-position model. Lineage: Bacteria; Pseudomonadati; Acidobacteriota. The record is from RNAcentral.
UGGGGAAUUUUGGACAAUGGGGGAAACCCUGAUCCAGCCAUCCCGCGUGUGCGAUGAAGGCCUUCGGGUUGUAAAGCACUUUUGGCAGGAAAGAAACGUCAUGGGUUAAUACCCCGUGAAACUGACGUUACCUGCAGAAUAAGCACCGGCUAACUACGUGCCAGCAGCCGCGGUAAUACGUAGGGUGCAAGCGUUAAUCGGAAUUACUGGGCGUAAAGCGUGCGCAGGCGGUUCGGAAAGAAAGAUGUGAAAUCCCAGAGCUCAACUUUGGAACUUCAUUUUUAACUACCGGGCUAGAGUGUGUCAGAGGGAGGUGGAAUUCCGCGUGUAGCAGUGAAAUGCGUAGAUAUGCGGAGGAACACCGAUGGCGAAGGCAGCCUCCUGGGAUAACACUGACGCUCAUGCACGAAAGCGUGGGGAGCAAACAGG